AGACCCGAAACCCGGUGAUCUAGCCAUGGGCAGGUUGAAGGUUGGGUAACACUAACUGGAGGACCGAACCGACUAAUGUUGAAAAAUUAGCGGAUGACCUGUGGCUGGGGGUGAAAGGCCAAUCAAACCGGGAGAUAGCUGGUUCUCCCCGAAAGCUAUUUAGGUAGCGCCUCGUGAAUUCAUCUCCGGGGGUAGAGCACUGUUUCGGCUAGGGGGCCAUCCCGGCUUACCAACCCGAUGCAAACUGCGAAUACCGGAGAAUGUUAUCACGGGAGACACACGGCGGGUGCUAACGUCCGUCGUGAAGAGGGAAACAACCCAGACCGCCAGCUAAGGUCCCAAAGUCAUGGUUAAGUGGGAAACGAUGUGGGAAGGCCCAGACAGCCAGGAUGUUGGCUUAGAAGCAGCCAUCAUUUAAAGAAAGCGUAAUAGCUCACUGGUCGAGUCGGCCUGCGCGGAAGAUGUAACGGGGCUAAACCAUGCACCGAAGCUGCGGCAGCGAACGUAUCACUUAAAGCGAUUCAGCGGGUUACGAUUGACGGAGCGAAGCGACGUCAAAGCGUAUACAAAGUCGAGUCGGUUUAAGGAUACGUUCGUUGGGUAGGGGAGCGUUCUGUAAGCCUGUGAAGGUGUGUCGUGAGGCAUGCUGGA
This 651-nucleotide ribosomal RNA is filed under the name Salmonella enterica subsp. enterica serovar Infantis. RNAcentral describes it as "partial 23S ribosomal RNA". It matches the Rfam family "Bacterial large subunit ribosomal RNA", at positions 711 to 1277 of the family's 2925-position model. Lineage: Bacteria; Pseudomonadati; Pseudomonadota; Gammaproteobacteria; Enterobacterales; Enterobacteriaceae. The record is from RNAcentral. RNAcentral also lists the same sequence under 1 other name.